UCCCUNUGGUUCAGUUGUAAUGGUUAGUG
This 29-nucleotide non-coding RNA is filed under the name Homo sapiens (human). Lineage: Eukaryota; Metazoa; Chordata; Mammalia; Primates; Hominidae. The record is from RNAcentral.